AGCGAACGCUGGCGGCGUACUUAGCACAUGCAAGUCGAACGGGGAUCGUCGGGUUAGCAAUAAUUCGGCGGUCCUAGUGGCGUACGGGUGAGUAACACGUGGGCAACUUGCCCUUGAGACCGGGAUACCCUCUCGAAAGGGAGGCUAAUACUGGAUACGUUCUUCGGAUCGCAAGAUCUGGAGAGGAAAGGUGGCGCAAGCUACCGCUCUUGGAGAGGCUCGCGGCCUAUCAGCUAGUUGGUGAGGUAAUGGCUCACCAAGGCUAUGACGGGUAGCUGGUCUGAGAGGACGACCAGCCACACGGGAACUGAGACACGGUCCCGACUCCUACGGGAGGCAGCAGUGGGAAUUUUCCGCAAUGGGCGAAAGCCUGACGGAGUGACGCCGC
RNAcentral lists this ribosomal RNA (388 nucleotides) under uncultured bacterium. Its description in RNAcentral is "bacterial SSU rRNA". It matches the Rfam family "Bacterial small subunit ribosomal RNA", at positions 29 to 400 of the family's 1533-position model. The record is from RNAcentral.